CCUACGGGGGGCUGCAGUGGGGGAUAUUGCACAAUGGGGGGAACCCUGAUGCAGCGACGCCGCGUGGGUGAAGGAGCGUUUCGGCGCGUAAAGCCCUAUCGGCAGGGAAGAAGAUGACGGUACCUGGCCAAGAAGCCCCGGCUAACUACGUGCCAGCCGCCGCGGUCAUACGUAGGGGGCAAGCGUUAUCCGGAUUUACUGGGUGUAAAGGGGGCGCAGACGGCAAUGCAAGCCAGGAGUGAAAGCCCGGGGCCCAACCCCGGGACUGCUCUUGGAAGUGCAGGGCUGGAGUACAGGAGGGGCAGGCGGAAUUCCUAGUGUAGCGGUGAAAUGCGUAGAUAUUAGGAGGAACACCAGUGGCGAAGGCGGCUUACUGGACUGUAACUGACGUUGAGGCUCGAAAGCGUGGGGAGCAAACAGGAUUAGAUACCCCGGUAGUC
This 440-nucleotide ribosomal RNA is filed under the name uncultured bacterium. RNAcentral's name for it is "partial 16S ribosomal RNA". It matches the Rfam family "Bacterial small subunit ribosomal RNA", at positions 338 to 795 of the family's 1533-position model. The record is from RNAcentral.